AAUAUCAAAGGUGAGCCAGUACAGGAUGGACCCGCGUCUGAUUAGCUAGUUGGUAAGGUAACGGCUUACCAAGGCGACGAUCAGUAGCCGACCUGAGAGGGUGAUCGGCCACAUUGGAACUGAGACACGGUCCAAACUCCUACGGGAGGCAGCAGUGGGGAAUAUUGCACAAUGGGCGAAAGCCUGAUGCAGCAACGCCGCGGGAGUGAUGAAGGCCUUCGGGUCGUAAAACUCUGUCCUCAAGGAAGAUAAUGACGGUACUUGAGGAGGAAGCCCCGGCUAACUACGUGCCAGCAGCCGCGGUAAUACGUAGGGGGCUAGCGUUAUCCG
This 330-nucleotide ribosomal RNA is filed under the name Clostridioides difficile. RNAcentral's name for it is "bacterial SSU rRNA". It matches the Rfam family "Bacterial small subunit ribosomal RNA", at positions 197 to 547 of the family's 1533-position model. The record is from RNAcentral. Lineage: Bacteria; Bacillati; Bacillota; Clostridia; Peptostreptococcales; Peptostreptococcaceae.